RNAcentral lists this ribosomal RNA (220 nucleotides) under uncultured Glomus. RNAcentral's name for it is "partial small subunit ribosomal RNA". It matches the Rfam family "Eukaryotic small subunit ribosomal RNA", at positions 591 to 817 of the family's 1831-position model. Lineage: Eukaryota; Fungi; Glomeromycota; Glomeromycetes; Glomerales; Glomeraceae. The record is from RNAcentral.
CCAAUAGCGUAUAUUAAAGUUGUUGCAGUUAAAAAGCUCGUAGUUGAAUUUCGAGAUCAAUUUGUUGGUCGUGCCUCGGUACGUACUGGCAAUUUUGAUUUCUCCCUUCUGAAGAACCAUGAUGUCAUUAAUUUGGUGUCAUGGGGAAUCAGGACCGUUACUUUGAAAAAAUUAGAGUGUUUAAAGCAGGCUCGCGCUUGAAUACAUUAGCAUGGAAUAA